CGUCCUCAUCGCCGUCGUCGUCGUCGUCGUCGUCGGUGGUACAGUCGAGUAGGUUAAGAAAGCGGGACACGCGUACAGAUAGAUCAGUUUUCCGUGUCGUUGUGAUCGAAAGCGCGUUUCGUCGCGUACGAUCCAUGGAUCUGGGUUUACUAUAUAAUAUUUACACGUAAAAUACAAUCGAUCGAGAGUAGACAAAGAUCGAAAGCUUUCAUUGGUCCAGCGAAACGGAGAGAAGAAGCGCAAGACGAGAGUCGGCCAGGCGACUCGAAUGUAGAAAAUUAGCGUCGCGAUCGGUCGACCCAUCAUUCUCGCGACAGGGAAAGGACAGUUGAAACCGGGACGAACGAAACGAGGAGGCGAGAAAAGCGGACGGGAUCGCAAGGGAAAGAAUAGAAAAGUGAGAGAUAAGACUGAGAUAGAGAGUGUUGUGAAGUGAGAAAGAAAAACGAAAAGGGAGAAACGAGUGUGACGAACGCGAUAAGAAAGAAGAGAAGGACUUGUGUCGAAGAGGAGAGGAACGAGAGGACAGGAGAUUACAUAUAGGGAAAGCUCAGUGAAGAGAGAGGGGGAGUAAAGAG
This is a long non-coding RNA of Bombus impatiens (common eastern bumble bee), 578 nucleotides long. RefSeq lists it as uncharacterized. The transcript has 2 exons. NCBI's taxonomy places the organism in Eukaryota, Metazoa, Arthropoda, Insecta, Hymenoptera, Apidae. The record is from RefSeq and is a predicted model, not a curated record.